AAUUUGAAAUCUGGCUCUAGGGCCCGAGUUGUAAUUUGCAGAGGAUGAUUUUGGCGCGGUGCCUUCCGAGUUCCCUGGAACGGGACGCCUUAGAGGGUGAGAGCCCCGUACGGUUGGACAUCAAGCCUCUGUAAAUCUCCUUCGACGAGUCGAGUAGUUUGGGAAUGCUGCUCUAAAUGGGAGGUAAAUUUCUUCUAAAGCUAAAUACCGGCCAGAGACCGAUAGCGCACAAGUAGAGUGAUCGAAAGAUGAAAAGCACUUUGAAAAGAGGGUUAAAUAGCACGUGAAAUUGUUGAAAGGGAAGCAUUUACUACCAGACCUUCUCCCUGCGGAUCAUGCGGUGUUCUCACCGCUGCACUUCGCUUGGUUUAGGCCAGCAUCGGUUUUCGUAGAGGGAUAAAAGCUUUAGGAACGUAGCUCCCUCGGGAGUGUUAUAGCCUUUUGCAUAAUACCUUUACGGGGACCGAGGACCGCGCUUUUGCAAGGAUGCUGGCAUAAUGGUAGUCAAUGACCCGUCUUGAAACACGGACCAAGGAGUCGAACAUUUAUGCGAGUGUUUGGGUGUUAAACCCUCACGCGUAAUGAAAGUGAACGUAGGUGAGAGCCCUUACGGGUGCAUCAUCGACCGAUCUUGAUGUCUUCGGAUGGAUUUGAGUAAGAGCAUAACUGUUCGGACCCGAAAGAUGGUGAACUAUGCGUGGAUAGGGUGAAGCCAGAGGAAACUCUGGUGGAGGCUCGCAGCGGUUCUGACGUGCAAAUCGAUCGUCAAAUCUGCGCAUGGGGGCGAAAGACUUAUCGAACCAUUAAACCAGCGGUAAAAAUAUUUACUAGGUGGUUAAGAGGCCCUCUGUAAAGAGGAAAAGGCCUAGGUGACCUAUCCUGAAAGAUGCUACCCGGCACUUUCGGGUGGGAUACCGACAUCGCUAAAUUGCGGGAACAUCCUACUGUAAGGCUAGGGGUUACCGCCGCCUGCUGAAAAGCUCGGCGGCACUGGGAGUAGCGCUCUCAGGUGUGGUAAAAACGCCCCUAGUAUCGGACGACCUGCAGCCAACCCCGUACUUCAGGGGAGGGUUCACAGACUAAACAGCGAUGGGUCAGCCGUUGCUGGCCUAAGACAUAGUCGAU
This 1125-nucleotide ribosomal RNA is filed under the name Muscodor coffeanus. RNAcentral describes it as "partial large subunit ribosomal RNA". It matches the Rfam family "Eukaryotic large subunit ribosomal RNA", at positions 112 to 1432 of the family's 3401-position model. The record is from RNAcentral. Lineage: Eukaryota; Fungi; Ascomycota; Sordariomycetes; Xylariales.